Molecule: long non-coding RNA, 436 nt
Filed under: Equus asinus (donkey)
Lineage: Eukaryota; Metazoa; Chordata; Mammalia; Perissodactyla; Equidae
Description: lncRNA (ENSEASG00005031487.1)
Source: RNAcentral
CGCAGCGCGCUCCCGGGCCGGCGGUUCGGCCCCUGGCACCGCGCGCCCGCUGCCCACCGCCGGGCAUCACCGGACCAAGACGUUUCCCACAGCGGGCUGCAAGGCAGUCCCAGGAGAGCAGGACCUUGCUUGUCUUGGCCACUCGGGUCCCUGGUCUGGCACAGGGCCUGAUAGGAAUGCGUUGACAGAAAGAAUAAAAACGCCGAGUCGAGUGGGACUGCGGACUGGUACAGCCACGCUGGACGACGGUUUGCAGAUGUGCCUUUCGAGACGUCUCAUGUAAAUGGAAUCACACGAUAUGCAGCCGUCGGUGUCUAGCUGCUUCUACUCAGCACAGCGUUUUCAAGGUCCGUCCAUGUAGCACGCAUCAGUACCUCAUUCCUUUUUAUUAUGAUUAUAUUGUGCCAAAUUUAAUGUACUCCAUUUAAUUAUCCCG